AUCAUAUUUUUAUUACGUAUUAAUAAAAGCAAAACAAUAAAAACGCAGGCUUCAUCAAAAUAGUAAGUAUAGUAUUACGGCUGUGAAUUACAAUAGUUGUUAGCAGAAUUUAAUAUAUGUAGGUACAUGUAACAUAAAUUGUAUCAAACAACAUUCCCGUUUCGAUAACCUCGCUCGAUAACACCAAGUUCCCGGUUUUCAAUUAAUUUAAUUAUCGUAUCGUAUUAAAAGUAAUGUUGCUGAGCUAAUAUGAGCGUUCGAUUAAUGUUAAGUCGCACUUACACGAGUUCUUACUACAUUAAGACCUCUUUCGAAAUUCCAGAAAAUUAACUCGUCAUUUACUUUUAAUACAACCUUUUUUAACAGCUGUCAACGGUCAAAACAUGAGUAAGUUUAAGUAGCGAGAUCAGAUGAUAAUCUUUCUGGUUUUUGUUGGAUCUGCCUGUUGUUCUAAAGGUCAAACGUACCCGUGUUACCUGGGGUAACAAUAUAAAGGGACUGACUGACCUUCAGACAAAAAAUAAACGGCCCGUUUUGUCUGUUAUUUUAAGUGGUGUUUACCUACUAGGGAAUGAAGAGAUAAGAAUUAAAUCAGAGUCUAGAGUUAGUUCUUAUAAAUAAGCAAGUAAGCUUAUUUGAAACAUUUAUUCUGGGGAUUAAACCGACCGAUCAAAACUGGAUAAAGAAGGGGAGUUUUUCUGUGCGGGUAACGACCGCGGCAGGUGGUAAAUAAAAUGGCGGCUGAUAAAUAAAUUACGAGAAAAAAAUGUGCAACAAAAACUGUAGAGCGAGGACGGGCGAGCCCGCCAAUGUCAAAUAAAGGUCGUCGGAACA
Molecule: long non-coding RNA, 834 nt
Organism: Trichoplusia ni (cabbage looper)
Lineage: Eukaryota; Metazoa; Arthropoda; Insecta; Lepidoptera; Noctuidae
Exons: 2
Source: RefSeq, a predicted model, not a curated record